Non-coding RNA from Chelonoidis abingdonii (Abingdon island giant tortoise), 464 nucleotides. Lineage: Eukaryota; Metazoa; Chordata; Testudines; Testudinidae. The record is from RefSeq and is a predicted model, not a curated record.
ACUCCAAAGCCCUCCCUCCCCCUCGCUCUCUCCUCACCUGGACCUGGGGCCCAGAGAGCCCUUCUGCAAAUGCUGUGCUGUGGUGUUUGGGGACUGUCCGGUCCUCCAGCCAGCUCAGUGAGGGGGGCGCUGAGAGUAUUUUAGUAAGAAACUGCAAAUUGGUGGGCGGGGGACACAAGGUGUGGUUGUGUGUGAGCUGGUAGGGGAAGGGGCUGUGGAGCAGGACACAACCCAGCACCACCUGUUUUCUGCUGCCAUGAUGCAUGGGAAGGCCGUGUGUGUGUGUGUCCUGCAAGACAGCCCCACUCGUGGGGGUGGCAAUGCCAUGCCCUUCCCUGCCUGUUCAGUGGGGGGCGGGGGGGAGCUGUUGCCCACCCUGCCUGUGGGUUCUCAAGCUGUUGUCAGAGUUAUGAGGAAAGCCGGGAGGAUGAAUAAACCAACACCCCACUCCCUGGUUCUCCACA